Molecule: ribosomal RNA, 1205 nt
Filed under: human gut metagenome
Description: eukaryotic LSU rRNA
Rfam family: Eukaryotic large subunit ribosomal RNA
Source: RNAcentral
AAUUUCGAUUAUAAUAACGGCUAUUUAAAUGAUCCAUGAAACGAUAAGUUUAUUUUUUCAAAAAUUAAUUUAAUCGUACCGAUAACCGCAUCAGAUCUCCAAGGUGAGUAGCUUCUGGCCAUUGAGUAAUGGUAAUUUAGGGAAUUCGGCCAAUUAGAGCUGUAACUUCGGGAUAAAGCUUGGCUCUGAUGGAAAUCAGAACCGAUAGUUACAAGGAGAGCCCAACUGUUUAAUAAAAACUUAGUGUCGCGUCAUACCUUUAUAAGUAAUAAACGUGACAUGAAUCCUGCUCAGUGCUGUGUUUGUUAAACUGGAUUAAUCCAUUUAAGCGCCGGUAAAUAGCUGGGGUAACUAUGACUCUUAUCAAAGUAGCGAAAUACCUCGUCACUUAAUUAGUGACCUGCAUGAACGGAGCUAUGAGGUUCUCACUGUCCCAAAUUAUCACUCAGCGAACCAACAGUUGUGGGAACGGGCACAAAUUAUCCAGCGGGGAAAGAAGACCCUGUAGAGCUUCACUUUGGUCUAAUCUUGUAUAGUUUCGUUAGGGGUGCAGUCUAGGUGGGAGAUUUUUAAUCAAAUAUGAGAAACCACUACCCUUUCUGGAAUUAUACUUACUAAAAUUCUUUUAUAAAUUUUAGGAUCGGAUUAGAUAGAAAGUUUGGCUGGGGCGGCACACCUUCGAAAAAGCAGCGAAGGUGUCCUAAGUUAAGCUCAGUAAGGACAGAAAUCUUACGUUGAGGAUAAGGCCAAAAGCUUAAUUUACUGUGCCUUUUUGUACUAGGAUCAGUUUGGAAACAAAGGCCUAACGAUCCCUAAUUAGUCUUAGGUGUGUAAGACUUGGGGUGACAGACAAGUUACCUCCGGGACAACUGGCUUGUGGCUGCUAAGAGAUCAAAUCAACGCAGCUUUUUGAUUCUUCGAUGUCGGCUCUUCCUAUCCUAGUGAUGUACAAGUCACUAAGGGUUGGAUUGUUCACCCGUAUUAGGGAUCGUGAGCUGGGUUUAGACCGUCGUGAGCCAGGUUUGUUUUAUCCUACUGGAUAUAAUUUAGCAUCUUGAUAGUAGUUUGAUUUAGUACGAGAGGAACUGUUGAAUAUGGUCUCUGGUUUGGGAAUUUUAUGAAAAUAAAAGUUCCAAAGCUACGCCGUCUGAGAUAAUGGCUGUCUCUUAUACACAUCUCCGAGCCCACGAGACCGAGGCUGAUCU